GUAAAUUAAAACCAAAACCUGUUGCAAGUAUGACAAACACAUCCUUUUCAAUUAAGGGCCUGAGAGCAUUUUGUUCUGCUUUUAAAGAAAAUUUCAUCUACUUCAUUCAAUACAUUCGCAUUUCACAAUAGACGUUUUGAAAUCAUCAUCACAUAGCCUGCCCCAAAACAAAAUAAAUAACUGUGACUGGACCAGCAGGUAUUUGUCAGCAUAACGUGUAGAAAACCAGACUGAUCUGCAGAGCGAAAUUGAAUGAGUUUGCAAGAUCAGGAUGGUCUUACCAGGCUAGCCUCAGGUACCUCGUUUGUCAGCAUUUUAGACCUCAAGAAGCCUGUACUAUAAUGUGAAUUACAAGAUUAAAUGUGAUCUUUAUAAAAUACCUUUGAAUGAAUUCCAGCGUCGACGAUCCAGAGGCAGGAUACUCAAGGUUGAAGACGUAAUAGCUGCUGAAGAAAGCAGCUACUCCGUGUAAAAAGAAAGGGUGUGGGCCCAUCACGACAUGUCCCUCGAUGGAUAUAAGCCAUCCAGAGGGCUUCAUCAUGUCACCUGAUAUGAACAGAUACAACAUUAUGUGUUAUGAGCACUUUGCGAUCUGCUUAAGACACAAAGGGCUAUACAAAUGUAAUUCUUAUUAUAAUCAUAAUUAUUAUUAUUUAUUGUGGUCAUGUAGAUUUCUAGAAUGAAAAGAAAAUAAUGAGUUGUCGAUAAAUGUCGAUACUAGAUCAAAGUAACUGUCGCGCUGAUCUGGCAGAGGUGCGCCUGUCUCCCGUGUGCCCGCCUCCUCCUGCAUGCCGUCUCACCUGCGUGCCGCCCCGCUCUGCAUCGGCAGCUGCGUGUGACCGUGCGUGCGCGCCCUGGCGCACCCUCGACCAGGUGAAUUAGAUUGAGCAAUCAGAAGUUCGCACACACUUCAAUCAGCGGGAGCAUAUAACGCAGUCAUUUGGCUGGUGGAAAGGGACUGACACGACGGAAUGAGCAGCACACAUCCACUGCGGGGAAUGAGACUUUUGAUUUGACGGGCUAUCGGUUUUUCACCUAUACUGUUCAACUCCUGUUCAAUUAUUCAAAUAAAUUAUUCUGAGUGAAAUCCGAAGUCUGGUCCUUGUCAAGUGUGGACACCUCGCAGUUAAAAGAAACACUUGACAAUG
Long non-coding RNA from Micropterus dolomieu (smallmouth bass), 1148 nucleotides. RefSeq lists it as uncharacterized. NCBI's taxonomy places the organism in Eukaryota, Metazoa, Chordata, Actinopteri, Centrarchiformes, Centrarchidae. The record is from RefSeq and is a predicted model, not a curated record. The transcript has 2 exons.